CAUACAAGAAUAAUUGUUAAACCAUUUUUAGUUUGAAAAAAGACGAAUUCAAUAGCGAAGAGCGUCACGGCUUGUGAAGCGACGACGCUCCACUCAUUUUACAUUUUUAUUACGUUCCAAGUUUUAAAAAUAAUAAUUUUAAUUCGGUAACCCGGAAGUUUUAUACUUUUCCCGUGACCCGGAAGUAAUUCGCUUUGCGCGCGAACCGACCCUCCCCCCUCAGCUUCCGGUAUCGACUCGGCAUGGAAGGCCUCAACUCAGAGAGUGUCCGAGCUGGGUGUAAGAAAUGUGGAUACCCCGGACACUUGACGUACGAGUGCCGCAACUUUGUACGAGCCGACCCUCAGAAGGACGUGGUCCUUGACGUGAGUAGCACGAGCACAGACAGCAGUAGCAGUAGCAGCAGCGGCGAUGGCGGAGGAGGCGGUGGUGGAGGUGGA
Non-coding RNA from Petromyzon marinus (sea lamprey), 440 nucleotides. The record is from RefSeq and is a predicted model, not a curated record. Lineage: Eukaryota; Metazoa; Chordata; Hyperoartia; Petromyzontiformes; Petromyzontidae.